Long non-coding RNA from Homo sapiens (human), 2284 nucleotides. Ensembl annotates it as HLA complex group 18. Its record names the gene HCG18. Lineage: Eukaryota; Metazoa; Chordata; Mammalia; Primates; Hominidae. The record is from Ensembl.
GGCCGGGUCUAGCGGUGCCUGCGGAAGAAGGAGGAGGAGGGCUGGCGAUGAGAAGCAGCAGGGGGAAUCAAGGGCAAGAAGGGACCCAGAGGGGCAGGUGGCUGAGAUGCUGGCGUCCAGGUGACCCGAGGAAUCCUCUGGAGAUACAGGCCCGCGCAUGCGCGUGCUCGAGCGCUGAAGCCCAUUGCCCGCAGGGCGCUGGACUGGCGCCCCGGCCGGCGAGGCUGUCUAGUCCAGGCUCCAGGCCCCGGCUCUGGCCAGGCGCCGCCGCCUCCCGGUGCAGCUGAAAGUCGACGAAGAGGGCGGGGCGGGGGCGGCUUGUGGACUUCCACACUUUUCCUCUCUUCGGGCCAGUCUGGGGAGAGGGUGGCUAGCUGUGGCGGCGGCCAAUUACGUGGCGGACCUGCGGGGCUAAGCUGGCACGUCACUUCCGACUAGUGGAGUUUUUAGCCUUUUAACAUUCAAGGAUUAGAGCUCCCUCUUUGCCCACUAGCAGGGCAUUAGCUGGUGCUGAAGACAGUGGCUGCUUGGCGAGCCUGGAUCUCCAAGUGACCCCCUCAGCAACUCCUGAUGAACAGGACUGAAGCCAAUAUUAAAGCAAGUCAACCAAAGGUUCUCUGGUGUAGACAAGACAGCAAAAGGACAGACUACCUUGUGGAACCUAGCAUUGUUCUCCUUCUGCAGCACUAAGUACUGUGUGCAGAAAUGUGAUUGAGAUUCAAGUCAGGGCCUCUCUGCCCUUUUCCCUCCAGAAACAAAACCAAGAUAAUUUAUCCUGAACACGGUGAAAAAAGGAAGGGAGGGAGGAGAAAAAGUCCGGGUCUCACCUGGGAUUCUCUGUCUCCUGCAACAUGAAGGAUUUAGCCUGGGAGGAGGUGGUGAGAACUCUGGGAGAGAAAAAAGAAGGAAAGAAUAGUUUUACCCAUGCUGAAGUUAAUUUAAACCUUCACCUAGAGAAGCAAAAAAAAAAAACCCACACUUUCCCAUUUUGUGCCUCCCUUCCUAGAGUUUUAGCCAAAGGUUUAGCUAAGUAAUUGGUUUUACCAGCGCACUCACUCCUCCUAUCCCAAGUCUGUUUGACUCCCUCCCCAUCAUCCUCCUCACCUCUUUUCAGGCAGGGUGGGGAUAGCAGCAGGAGGAGAUUUUGGGAGCCUGGCAACUCCUGCAAGGACCGCAGGACAGCCCCUCUGUGGGGAUGCGUGGUGCCCCAUCUGCCGCCCUUCUGAAGAAUGCACUGCCUUCACUUUUUACUGUGUUAGAGUCCAUCCAGACUGUUCUAUCCAAAAAAGUUUCUUUUUCCCCCACAGGCAAUCAGGAAAUGAUUCCUUUCCCGACUGCUUCUGUCUAGUGCCUGGGAAUCUUGAGUCAAUCCCUCAGUAAGUCAGUGACUAGGGAAAUCCCUCUCUGAGCCUCCCAGUUCAUGUUGCUUAGGGAACCUGAUAUUUUCGUGAAACCUGCCUACACAUGGGCAGCCCAACAGCAGAACAAAUGGUGGUGACCAAAGUGAACAAAGAAGUAUAGUUGUGCCAGCUUCGUAGUUGCCCAUGUGGACAAGUCAGCAGGAUCAGGACACGAGGAAGAGUAAAUGUGAGACAGUCAAUGUGACUUCUGCGAUAAACAGAUUUUUAAACCCCGAAAUUUUGCAAAAUUUUGGUGAAACCUGAACUUUCUUCGUUGCAUAUACUGGCACUAUCUGUACCAUCAUACAACUGUCUCACAUUAAAGCUAUUUUUCUUGGGCACUGAUGAGUAAGGUUGGUAUAAGUUCCUCAGAUCAACAAAAACCCAUUUUCCUGUAAGUCUUACAUUUAGUAUUUAAGGAACUAAAACUUAAAUACAUUUUGUGAAAUGGUUGACACUUCACUGAUAAUGAUUUAUUGCUUGGAUUAAUAAAUUUUCCAAAAGUUGUCUUAUGUAGAAUAUGGUUUGCAACCAGCAGAACCAUUAAUCUAUACUGCAAUGAUAUGCACUAUGUAUAAUUGUUUAAAAGCCUCUACUUAAUGAUGUAAAAUGCUCUAUUUAAUUACACAUUUGGGUAAACUGUAUACUAACAUCUGAUGGCAUUUUUCCACUGUUUGUUGCUUUUUUCAAAUACUUUAUUGUACAAAGCUGUUCUUAAUAUUUUUCAAGUUUUUUUCUUUGAAUUUUGCUAAUGUUUUCCUUGAAUUAUGAGCACUGACAGAAUGUGCUUAGCACUUUUGGCUAUUCACACAGCUUUUGAGCAUGAUUUGCAUCCAAUAUUUACAUUGCUAGCAAUAAUAAGCCAUCUGUGAGUUUUGUCAAAA